Molecule: ribosomal RNA, 422 nt
Filed under: uncultured bacterium
Lineage: Bacteria
Description: bacterial SSU rRNA
Rfam family: Bacterial small subunit ribosomal RNA
Source: RNAcentral
UAAGGAAUAUUGGACAAUGGACGCAAGUCUGAUCCAGCCAUGCCGCGUGAAGGAUGAAUGCCCUCUGGGUUGUAAACUUCUUUUAUAGGGGAAGAAAGAUACUUUUUUUAAGGUAGUUGACGGUACCCGCAGAAAAAGCCCCGGCUAACUUCGUGCCAGCAGCCGCGGUAAUACGAAGGGGGCUAGCGUUGCUCGGAAUUACUGGGCGUAAAGCGCACGUAGGCGGACUCUUAAGUCGGUGGUGAAAUCCUGGAGCUCAACUCCAGAACUGCCGUCGAUACUGGGAGUCUUGAGUUAGGGAGAGNUGAGUGGAACUGCGAGUGUAGAGGUGAAAUUCGUAGAUAUUCGCAAGAACACCAGUGGCGAAGGCGGCUCACUGGCCCGAUACUGACGCUGAGGUGCGAAAGCGUGGGGAGCAAACA